RNAcentral lists this long non-coding RNA (549 nucleotides) under Canis lupus familiaris (dog). Its description in RNAcentral is "lncRNA (ENSCAFG00805004069.1, ENSCAFG00845017086.1)". Lineage: Eukaryota; Metazoa; Chordata; Mammalia; Carnivora; Canidae. The record is from RNAcentral.
CUCGGUGGCCGCGGCCAGCCUCGCAGGUGUCUCUAGAGCUUUGGGCCCCCGCGUCCCAACGAGCCCCCGAGCGGCCCGGGGUCUGCCCAGCAACUCCCGAACCCUCAGCGCCCGCUCCAGUCCGGAGAGACCCGCUGGCUGUCGCGGUCCCAGGAGUCGCGACUUUCUGGGGUCCCGGGCUGGGGGGGGAGGAGGAAUUCUGCUCAGACUCUGCAGCAGUUGGUAGCAAGAAAGCUUUCUCCUUGGUGUCUCCUGGAAAAGUUGCAAAAUUGCUCUUCACCUGUAAGAACAUGCUCUUUAUUCUCCAGUCUCUUCUUGUCAAUUCGGAAAUUGCAGACAGCCCGGCUCAGAAGAGAAGGCUUGUACUCUGAGAGAAGACUCCUGUAGCAGAGAUGGACUUACCUCUGGCUCUGGCUGCAGAUACUGAACUUCUCACACCACCAGUGCAUGGAUGCCCUUGGCACUGCCCUUGUUGCUUUGGCUGGGCCACAGGUAACUUUCCAAUAUCCUAGCUGGGGCCAAAUACCCAGACUGCCCCCAAACCUCUUU